GAGUUUGAUCCUGGCUCAGGAUGAACGCUAGCGAUAGGCUUAACACAUGCAAGUCGAGGGGCAGCAAUUCGUAGCAAUACGAAGUUGGCGACCGGCGCACGGGUGAGUAACGCGUAUGCAACCUACCCGCAACAGAAGGAUAAUCCGGCGAAAGUCGGUCUAAUACUUCAUAAUACAGGGACACCGCAUGGUGAUAUUUGUUAAAGAUUAAUUGGUUGCGGAUGGGCAUGCGUGCCAUUAGGUAGUUGGUGAGGUAACGGCCCACCAAGCCGACGAUGGUUAGGGGUUCUGAGAGGAAAAUCCCCCACACUGGUACUGAGACACGGACCAGACUCCUACGGGAGGCAGCAGUGAGGAAUAUUGGUCAAUGGGCGAGAGCCUGAACCAGCCAAGUCGCGUGAAGGAAGACGGCCCUAUGGGUUGUAAACUUCUUUUGCAGGGGAAUAAAGAUAUCCACGAGUGGAUAGUUGUAUGUACCCUGCGAAUAAGCAUCGGCUAACUCCGUGCCAGCAGCCGCGGUAAUACGGAGGAUGCGAGCGUUAUCCGGAUUUAUUGGGUUUAAAGGGUGCGUAGGUGGGCUAUUAAGUCAGUGGUGAAAGUUUGUCGCUCAACGAUAAAAUUGCCGUUGAAACUGGUGGUCUUGAGUAUGGAUGAAGUAGGCGGAAUGCGUGGUGUAGCGGUGAAAUGCAUAGAGAUCACGCAGAACUCCGAUUGCGAAGGCAGCUUACUAAGGCAUAACUGACACUGAAGCACGAAAGCGUGGGUAUCAAACAGGAUUAGAUACCCUGGUAGUCCACGCAGUAAACGAUGAUUACUAGGAGUUUGCGAUAUAGUGUAAGCUCUACAGCGAAAGCGUUAAGUAAUCCACCUGGGGAGUACGUACGCAAGUAUGAAACUCAAAGGAAUUGACGGGGACCCGCACAAGCGGUGGAGCAUGUGGUUUAAUUCGACGCAACGCGAGGAACCUUACCAGCGUUUGACAUCUUAGGAAUGAGACAGAGAUGUUUCAGUGUCCCUUCGGGGAAACCUAAAGACAGGUGGUGCAUGGCUGUCGUCAGCUCGUGUCGUGAGAUGUUGGGUUAAGUCCCGCAACGAGCGCAACCCCUUUCGUAUGUUACCAUCAUUAAGUUGGGGACUCAUGCGAUACUGCCUACGAUGAGUAGGAGGAAGGUGGGGAUGACGUCAAGUCAUCAUGCCCCUUAUACGCUGGGCUACACACGUGCUACAAUGGGUAGAACAGAGAGUUGCAAAGCUGUGAAAGUGGAGCUAAUCUCAGAAAACUAUUCUUAGUUCGGAUUGUACUCUGCAACUCGAGUACAUGAAGUUGGAAUCGCUAGUAAUCGCGAAUCAGCAAUGUCGCGGUGAAUACGUUCUCGGGUCUUGCACACACCGCCCGUC
RNAcentral lists this ribosomal RNA (1398 nucleotides) under uncultured bacterium. RNAcentral's name for it is "bacterial SSU rRNA". It matches the Rfam family "Bacterial small subunit ribosomal RNA". The record is from RNAcentral.